This 465-nucleotide ribosomal RNA is filed under the name uncultured bacterium. RNAcentral describes it as "partial 16S ribosomal RNA". It matches the Rfam family "Bacterial small subunit ribosomal RNA", at positions 28 to 507 of the family's 1533-position model. The record is from RNAcentral.
GACGAACGCUGGCGGCGUGCUUAACACAUGCAAGUCGAACGGAAAGGCCCUGCUUGCAGGGUCCCCGAGUGGUGAACGGGUGAGUAACACGCGGGUGAUCUGCCCUGCACUUCGGGAUAAGCCCGGGUAACUGGGUAUAAUACCGGACAGGAGACAUUUCUAGUGUGAUGGUUGGAAAGUUGUUUCGGUGUAGGAUGAGCGCGCGGCCUAUCAGGUUGUUGGUGGGGUAAUGGCCUACCAAGGCGGAGGCGGGAAGCCGGCCGGGGGGGGUGGACGGCCACAGUGAGACUGAGAUACAGACCAGACUCCGACGGGAGGCAGCAGUAGGGAAUAGUGCACAAUGGGCACAAGCCUGAUGCAGCUACGCCGCGUGGGGGAUGACGGCCUUCGGGUUGUAAUCGCAUUUCGCUAGGGACGGAGCUGUUAGUGACGGUACCUAGAUAAGAAGCUCCGGCUAACUACGUG